Molecule: unclassified non-coding RNA, 3620 nt
Filed under: Daphnia pulex (common water flea)
Lineage: Eukaryota; Metazoa; Arthropoda; Branchiopoda; Diplostraca; Daphniidae
Description: eEF1A lysine methyltransferase 1-like, transcript variant X4
Source: RNAcentral
ACACAACACCAAGUGAUAAUAAAGUUCCUCCCGCCCUGUGUGUAAAUUCAAAUUGCUCGUAUUGCCAGCGGCAUGCAUACAGGCGAAUGCAGAGUUAUUUUAAAUGCAUCCAGUAUAACUCAUCAUAGAAAAUCACGAGUACCACGUAAGCUUUGGCGGUCUAUUUACCUUAACUAAUAAGGUUGUUUUUUCCUUGCCCCGGAAACAAUUUCAAAAGAGGAAAGUUUAAAAAAUACCUUUUACAGUUCUGUUUCCCAAUUUAUUCAAUUGAAUUUGACUAUACCGCUAUACCUUGAAGAAAAGACGCUGUUGGAGCUGUGAGAAUUUGCGGGAACGUGAGUAAGUGAAUGAGAUCACGACGUAAUUAGAGGUUUACUUUACCGUGCUUUCCGACCAAUUUAUUCUGGAUGUUCUGAGUUCUGGGAAGCCUAAAAUCACCGCGUGGAAGUGUUGACGAGAGUAAAUUGCUUUGCAAUUAGCUGACAAUGUCCGAAAACCUAGCUAUAUAUAAGAACCCGUUGCUUAGACAGUCGGUGCACACCGAGAAUUCCUUUGGUCGGAGAUACACGACAUGCAAUCCCAUCUUUUCAGGUAUCUAUUGGGCCCGAUUAUUUUGUCGGCUUUUCCGGACGCUUUAUUUCACCAGCCUCUUCAUCUGCCACGGCAGGGACAAUUUAUUCCGUUAUUGCCUUACGGUUCGCCACUUCAUGUCCUACUUAAUAACCAGCCACGUUACCACGAAUAUGCCGAAGACGAUACGAUUCAUUUAAGAACUUCAUAUUUGUUUAAUGACAAUCAGAAUGACCAACAACAGGAAGAAAUUGACGUCAGAAGUCGAAACAAAAACGGAAUGGCGAAUGAAUAUCCGGACGCUCAACUAAGAAUAAACAGCCUCCAACGUUUUCUAUUUGGCGGAAGUAAUACUAAUCCUUUCUGGAAGACAGCAACUUACACUUCGGUAGCAUCACUAAGCGUGACAAGUGUACAGAAUUGUAUUCCGUCCUGGUUAUUUGUUGGUGGCAGUUCUACUAAUCCCUGUCGUCGCAAGAAGCGUGAAUUCCCAUCAGAAGAUGCUUUGCAAUUCCCCAUCGAUCCUUCAGAACGUCAACGAUUAACCGUAACGGCACUUCCUUCUAUGGAUCUGUUAAUGCGAAACAAUGGUCAACCUCGAACUACCAUAGUAUCUUCUAAAGAUGAAGUAAUUCCGAAUGAAGAUGGGCAGGAGCGACAGGACUUGGAUAAGGAGAAUCGACUUUUCUACAAGUUUGUGGCAUCUACAACAGCUUUCUCUUAUAUAUUUUCAACCUUCUUUUUCACUCGAACGAUAAGGCCUGUAGCAAAUAAUUACCAAGUGUUGUGUAUGCCGGAUGGCUACGUUGUUUGCAGUUAGUUAGAGUGCGUUGCUUUAAGACGACACAUCCAUUUUGUUUCCUUGUUGUUGUUGAUGACCUCAAACUUAAUCAACCAUAGCAGUUUUUAUCCCAUUAAAAUGCUCUUUACUUGUUUGUUUACUAUAACAUGUGAAAUACGUAGUUCCAAUUACCAGUCGUUGUGUUUUAACCAAAGAAGUAAAUUAUUUCGGCUAGAUUCGAAAAAAUUCUGGAAGAAACAACAUUGAACAUUUUUAUAGCCACAAGGGUCCCCUCGUCCGCUUCCCCAGAACUAUUGUAUUAUAAUAAACAACCUGGCAACCGUGAACAACAUAUUUGCGCAAUUUUUUACAAUCAGGACAUUUUUAUCGUCCCUUGGGCACAACUCGAUAGAAAGCGUUUGGGGUAUUUUGAAUCUGAAACAUUGAAUGUCUAUUUUUUCUUUCAUCUAAUUUUGUUGACAGAUAUUUUAAUUGACAAAUCAAGUUUUCGAAGGAAUGGUAAAAAUUUGCGUGUUUCAAUAACCAUGACGUUAUAGUUUGUCCGUUGAUAAAUCUAAACUAGGGUCUCUCAUCAUCAGGAACGUCAGAUUUAUGGCAGCCGCAGGUUCCUAACAGAAAUGGAGGAAUUAACUAAAGAAAAUUGUCAUAUCAUUUAUUUUACUUAAUAACGAUGAAUUAAUCACAAUCCUGUACAUACCACAGGUUUGAAGAUUCCCGCCUUCACAGCCUCUCAAAUCGCACAAAUUUUCGCCUCUGAAAUGUGGCAAAGGUACGCCGUUCCAGUAAUAAGGAUCGUUAUUGGUCAUCCAUUCUGGAGUCGUGUUUCCGUUGUUUCUCAGCCAAACUAAAUUACGCCAGCUAUCCAUAUGCUUAUCCGGUGAUCCUAAAUCAAACGUUCCCUUUUGGUGACCGAAUCAAUUUGAUUUCAAUUUUCCUGCCACGGACAUUACCUGGAUUGCGGUAAUCUUCAAAGUAGCAACAAGUUCCCGAGCCGCCAUCAUCGUGAUAAGUUCCUUGACGCAACUUUCCGACGUACGAAAUAGGAUGUGUCGACUCGAACACUUCAUAGCGGCCUGGAUUACGAGUGUACCAGCCUUCGUGUUGAUAGAAAAUGACACGAUCCACUUGGCUGCCGUUCAAAACCUAAAUUGAAAUGGACCGGCUCCAAUUUCUGAGCAUGACACCCUUUCAAACUGGCGAUUUAAUCACCUUGACUACAUAACGUCCCCAGUUGACAUCGUCUCCAGGAUCUCCCGGUAACAUAGGGCAGUCAUCUUUGUAGCCGUAAAAGAACCAAUAAGAAAAGAUCAUGUUAUUGUUUUCACACUCGUCAGCUUCGUAAUAAGCCGGGAUACGCCCAUCCAAAAUGCUGAUAUAAUCCAUGUUGCAAACCUAGGAUUCAAACAAAUCCCAUAAAUGAUUGGCUGGAAAGGUUACCAGGAUGGAAUACAUUACUCUUCCAGUGAAUCCAUUUUGACGGAGGCGGAAAUAAUCCUCGGCGCUACUGGGAAGGCAUUGGCCGAGUGUAUCGCCGGAUUUAGAAUCAAAACGGAGCCGUGGAGCGUACUGAACGACUAAAUCGUGAAGUUCAUGCACUUCAUCCUUUACACAUUCUUAAAAAAAAAAAUCAAUAGGUUAUUCAAUUUUAAACAAAUUUAUGCGAUCUGUGAAACUACCUGAUGCCUUGAAAAAGACCAAGGCAACGGAAAAAAGCAGUGCCCACUUAAUGAACAUCUUUCAGAUUCCACAAACGAGUGCUGCGCAACACGAAAAGCUCAGCACCUUUUUAUUAAUUUCUGUAACGCUAUAAAAAACCCGGGAAACGGAUAACAUCUCAAAUUGAUUUAUAGCCAAGGAUUUAAUUAAGCGCGCUGUACUCUGACCCUUAACUAUUAAACGACUGAUAAGUCUAAGUAACGACACGAAAUGUUCAACGGUCGCGCGUGAUUCAAAGUGCGACUCCAAAAAUGUAAAACGAUCAAGGUCUUUUGCCAUUACGUCUGCUUUAUCUCGAAACUCGAUAGUCUAGACUUUUGUUUGUUUAUGUCACGAAUAACUUAUAAAACAAAAAAGUGAAAGUAAUCGUUAGACUGUUGUUUUUGUUUGUUCUUUUGACCCAGGAAACAUUUAUUGGAAAUAAUGAUUGAACGUGCGUCACUAUGCAGUGCGUCCGGGGAAAGAGGUAAUACAUCAAUUAAAAGCCUCCCACUCUCGAAAGUCAUAUCUCUUGUGUGUUAUUAGUAUUUGA